Molecule: ribosomal RNA, 450 nt
Filed under: uncultured bacterium
Lineage: Bacteria
Description: partial 16S ribosomal RNA
Rfam family: Bacterial small subunit ribosomal RNA
Source: RNAcentral
GUGGGGAAUUUUGGACAAUGGGCGCAAGCCUGAUCCAGCCAUGCCGCGUGCAGGAUGAAGGCCUUCGGGUUGUAAACUGCUUUUGUACGGAACGAAAAGACUCUGGUUAAUACCUGGGGUCCAUGACGGUACCGUAAGAAUAAGCACCGGCUAACUACGUGCCAGCAGCCGCGGUAAUACGUAGGGUGCGAGCGUUAAUCGGAAUUACUGGGCGUAAAGCGUGCGCAGGCGGUUAUGUAAGACAGAUGUGAACUCCCCGGGCUCAACCUGGGAACUGCAUUUGUGACUGCAUAGCUAGAGUACGGCAGAGGGGGAUGGAAUUCCGCGUGUAGCAGUGAAAUGCGUAGAUAUGCGGAGGAACACCGAUGGCGAAGGCAAUCCCCUGGGCCUGUACUGACGCUCAUGCACGAAAGCGUGGGGAGCAAACAGGAUUAGAUACCCGGGUAGUCC